GCAGUCGAGCGGUAACACAGGGAGCUUGCUCCUGGGUGACGAGCGGCGGACGGGUGAGUAAUGUCUGGGAAACUGCCUGAUGGAGGGGGAUAACUACUGGAAACGGUAGCUAAUACCGCAUAACGUCGCAAGACCAAAGAGGGGGACCUUCGGGCCUCUUGCCAUCAGAUGUGCCCAGAUGGGAUUAGCUAGUAGGUGGGGUAAUGGCUCACCUAGGCGACGAUCCCUAGCUGGUCUGAGAGGAUGACCAGCCACACUGGAACUGAGACACGGUCCAGACUCCUACGGGAGGCAGCAGUGGGGAAUAUUGCACAAUGGGCGCAAGCCUGAUGCAGCCAUGCCGCGUGUAUGAAGAAGGCCUUCGGGUUGUAAAGUACUUUCAGCGAGGAGGAAGGCAUUAAGGUUAAUAACCUUGGUGAUUGACGUUACUCGCAGAAGAAGCACCGGCUAACUCCGUGCCAGCAGCCGCGGUAAUACGGAGGGUGCAAGCGUUAAUCGGAAUUACUGGGCGUAAAGCGCACGCAGGCGGUCUGUCAAGUCGGAUGUGAAA
This 550-nucleotide ribosomal RNA is filed under the name Klebsiella aerogenes. Its description in RNAcentral is "bacterial SSU rRNA". It matches the Rfam family "Bacterial small subunit ribosomal RNA", at positions 57 to 599 of the family's 1533-position model. The record is from RNAcentral. Lineage: Bacteria; Pseudomonadati; Pseudomonadota; Gammaproteobacteria; Enterobacterales; Enterobacteriaceae.